Molecule: ribosomal RNA, 748 nt
Filed under: bacterium SY097
Lineage: Bacteria
Description: partial 16S ribosomal RNA
Rfam family: Bacterial small subunit ribosomal RNA
Source: RNAcentral
CCAAAGAUUAGCGGCGGACGGGUGAGUAACACGUGGGCAACCUGCCUGUAAGACUGGGAUAACUCCGGGAAACCGGGGCUAAUACCGGAUAAUUCAUUUCCUCUCAUGAGGAAAUGCUGAAAGACGGUUUCGGCUGUCACUUACAGAUGGGCCCGCGGCGCANNAGCUAGUUGGUGAGGUAACGGCUCACCAAGGCCACGAUGCGUAGCCGACCUGAGAGGGUGAUCGGCCACACUGGGACUGAGACACGGCCCAGACUCCUACGGGAGGCAGCAGUAGGGAAUCUUCCGCAAUGGACGAAAGUCUGACGGAGCAACGCCGCGUGAGCGAUGAAGGCCUUCGGGUCGUAAAGCUCUGUUGUUAGGGAAGAACAAGUAUCGGAGUAACUGCCGGUACCUUGACGGUACCUAACCAGAAAGCCACGGCUAACUACGUGCCAGCAGCCGCGGUAAUACGUAGGUGGCAAGCGUUGUCCGGAAUUAUUGGGCGUAAAGCGCGCGCAGGUGGUUCNUUAAGUCUGAUGUGAAAGCCCACGGCUCAACCGUGGAGGGUCAUUGGAAACUGGNNNACUUGAGUGCAGAANANGAAAGUGGAAUUCCACGUGUAGCGGUGAAAUGNGUANAGANNNNNGANGAACNCCNGUNGGCGAANGNGACUNUNNNGGUCUGUAACUGACNCUGANGNNCGAAAGCGUGGGGANCGAANAGGAUUAGAUACCCUGNUAGUCCACGCCGUAAACGAUGANUGC